This is a long non-coding RNA of Sciurus carolinensis (gray squirrel), 1080 nucleotides long. RefSeq lists it as uncharacterized. Lineage: Eukaryota; Metazoa; Chordata; Mammalia; Rodentia; Sciuridae. The transcript has 6 exons. The record is from RefSeq and is a predicted model, not a curated record.
GAGUCGUAGAUUCUGUUCCUAUUCUCCCCGCGGCGGUGAGCUGGGCGCGGUCUGCAGGGAUCGAACUGGCGGCGCAGCUGGAGAGCGGAGCCCGGGAGCCGCUGGGGCGGCUCGAGUGGGCGGACGCGGAGCUUAGACUGAGGCCCCGCGCUCAAGAGAGGCGGAGGAGGCUCCGGAGGCGGGGCUGGCGGAGUGCAAGCCAUGAGCUCGCGUUCAUCCCAGCGCCGCGCUGCCGAAGCGGGCCCAGGCGACGGCGGCCUGGGCGCGGGUUCCCAGGCGCUGUCCGGCGACCAGAUGCGUCGGAGGAAACAGCCAGGUCAUCCUCAGCGGCCACCGCGGGGUGGGAAAGACCGGCCUGAUGGAGCGUUUCAGGGACGACACCUUCUGCGAGGCCACCGUGGUGCUGGGGAUUGAACCCAGGGCCUUGUGCUUAUGAGAUCAUGUGAUCACAAGAAAAGGGGAAAGAUAGUCAAUAAGGAAAAGGAGAACCCUCAUUCAGGAUGAAACAAUUAAAAGUGUUGAUUUUAAAAUCAAAACCGUAGCGCUAAGAGGAAAGAAAAUUCGAUUACAGAUCUGUGAAAAUUCAAGUUCAUGGAGAUAAAGAACAAAUAUUAAGAUUGUCUAUCUUCACAGAAUGAAAGCUGCCCAAGAUGCUGAAAGGAAAAAAGGCCAAGGGGAAGAAGGUAGCCCUGGCCCCCACUGUGGUCAAGAAGCAGGAAGCCAAGAAGCUGGUGAACCCUUUGUUCAAGAAGAGGCAUAGAACUUUGGCACUGGCAGGAGUUGUAGCCCAAAAGGGACCUUACCCACUUUGUAAAAUGACCCCAGUACAUCUGCCUGCAGCAUCAAAGGGCUGUUCUCUAUAAGAGGCUGAAAGUGCCUCUGCAAUUAACCAGUUCAGCCAGGACGUGGAUUUCCAAACAACCACCCAGCUGCUUAAGCUUACCCACAAGACCAGAGAUGAAACAGAAGCAGCAGAGGCUGUUGACCUGGACUGAGAAGAAGGCUGCUGGCAAAGGGAAUGUCCCCAUGAAGAGACCACUGGUCUCAAACUAGAGCAAUAACUAAUAAAAUAAAAUAAUU